GACGAACGCUGGCGGCGUGCUUAACACAUGCAAGUCGAACGGGCCUUGUCCCCUUUUUUUUGGGGGUGGGGUUAGUGGCGAACGGGUGAGUAACACGUGAGUAACCUGCCCCUCACUUCUGGAUAACCGCUUGAAAGGGUGGCUAAUACGGGGUGUUCUGGCCUGCUCGCAUGGGUGGGUUUGGAAAGAUUCGACCGGUUUUGGUUGUUUUGGUGGGGGUUGGGCUCGCGGCCUAUCAGCUUGUUGGUGGGGUGAUGGCCUGCCAAGGCUUUGACGGGUAGCCGGCCUGAGAGGGUGGGCGGUCACACUGGGACUGAGACACGGCCCAGACUCCUACGGGAGGCAGCAGUGGGGAAUAUUGCACGAUGGGCGCAAGCCUGAUGCAGCGACGCCGCGUGAGGGAUGGAGGCCUUCGGGUUGUGAACCUCUUUCGCCAGUGAAGAAGGUCCUGCUCUUUGUGGUGGGGUUGACGGUAGCUGGGUUAAUGAAGCGCCGGCUAACUACGUG
Molecule: ribosomal RNA, 507 nt
Filed under: uncultured bacterium
Lineage: Bacteria
Description: partial 16S ribosomal RNA
Rfam family: Bacterial small subunit ribosomal RNA
Source: RNAcentral